AGGAAUAUACUUUCAGGGAUCAUUUCCAUAGUUUGUACCUAGAGAGAUGCUUUCAAAAGUGAGUGGUCUUGCCAGUUACAAUGACAAGUAAUAAUGUUUUUUCCUGAGCAUGAAGAAGUUAGUAAAAUAUUUUCAUAUAUGUUUUACUAUUCUUGAUGACUGCUUGUGCUUAGCUUAUAGCUUAGCAUGAAGGAAAAAGCAUAAUCCGGGUGGU
Protopterus annectens (West African lungfish) is the source of this 214-nucleotide small nucleolar RNA. RefSeq annotates it as small nucleolar RNA U3. The record is from RefSeq and is a predicted model, not a curated record. Lineage: Eukaryota; Metazoa; Chordata; Ceratodontiformes; Protopteridae. The transcript has a single exon.